RNAcentral lists this ribosomal RNA (268 nucleotides) under uncultured soil bacterium. RNAcentral describes it as "partial 16S ribosomal RNA". It matches the Rfam family "Bacterial small subunit ribosomal RNA", at positions 26 to 295 of the family's 1533-position model. The record is from RNAcentral.
AGAUUGAACGCUGGCGGCAGGCCUAACACAUGCAAGUCGAGCGGUAGAGAGGUGCUUGCACCUCUUGAGAGCGGCGGACGGGUGAGUAAUGCCUAGGAAUCUGCCUAGUGGUGGGGGAUAACGUUCGGAAACGGACGCUAAUACCGCAUACGUCCUACGGGAGAAAGGCGGGGGACCUUCGGGCCUCGCGCCAUUAGAUGAGCCUAGGUCGGAUUAGCUAGUUGGUGAGGUAAUGGCUCACCAAGGCGACGAUCCGUAACUGGUCUGA